Erinaceus europaeus (western European hedgehog) is the source of this 1952-nucleotide long non-coding RNA. RefSeq lists it as uncharacterized. Lineage: Eukaryota; Metazoa; Chordata; Mammalia; Eulipotyphla; Erinaceidae. The transcript is spliced from 2 exons. The record is from RefSeq and is a predicted model, not a curated record.
GUACAGCACGUUUGGAUUGGUCCUUACAGGGUCUCUAGGGUUUGGGAUUAGUGGGAAUGGAGAGACAUUGAGCAAUAAGACUCAGGCCUGGUGCAGGAAUGGGAGCAAGAAGAAGAAGAGAUUAUUUUGAGGAAAGGUCAAUGAAAGCUUUUAACCAGGAACAGCUUGGAGAAGUUUUGAAGUUGUUAAGAGCAAAGACCUACAGGAUGAACCCCUCUGGGGAUCUAGGGUGUGCAAUGCUUAUUUGAGGUAAAAUGAGUUCAUGGGGUCCUCACCUGAAGUAAGUAGUGAUUUAGGGGGAUAGGAAAUGCACUCUAGUGCCACAUUCCUUGUCCACUGCUCCAUCCUCACUAUCAAGUCAAUGGACACAUGGCUACCCUGAGACCCGAGGGUUAUAUACCCCAGGCUCUUCAGACUGUUCUGGGUGCCACAGAUCAUCGUAAUUCAGCCCAACGCCCCACCACAGCUGUGGCUUUGAGGAGCACCUGUCCAGUGCACAGUGUCUUCCACAAGCAGACGCAGUAAGUGACAACAAAUGAUUUUCACCCUGCUUGCGGCACAAGUGGAGUAAAAUGAUUGAGAAGGACAGCUAAACAUCAGGGGAAACUCAAACCAGUGGCUCCUCCUAAGAAUCUCCAUUCUUACGAACAACAUUUAGAAGGGUGCAGUUGUGGUUGUUCCUCGUUCUGACUGUUCUGCCCCCUCCUCUCACUGUUGGUGGCUACUUGUCUUGGCUCAGUAGGGAAGCUUUGGAGUCUGACAGACGGGAGUUGGAAUGUGAACUUGCCCAUUCGUCCAUCCGUCCAUCCAUCCAUCCAUCCAUCCAUCCAUCCAGGACUGCCUAUACAAUUUGUGGGGAUCCAGUGAAAAAUGAAAAUGUAAAGCCUCUUGUUAAAAAAUUAAUCACACACAAAGUGCAAGGACCAGAAUAAGGAUUCCGGUUUGAGCCCCCGGCUCCCCACCUGCAGGGGAAUCACUUCACAGGCAGUGAAGCAGGUCUGCAGGUGUCUCUCUUUCUCUCUCUCCAUUUCUCUCUGUCCUUUCUAACAACAACAUCAUCAUCAACGACAAAAACAAUAAUAAAAGAAAAACAACAAGAGCAACAAAAGGGAAAAUAAAUUAAAAAAAUUAAUCACAAGACAGUGACAGUAGAGUAUUAAGGCUAGUGUGAGGUAAGUGUAAGGGCCCAUGUGACUGCACAAAUCACACACCUGUUAAGCCAGCCUGGAACUCUGUUGCUAAGUGAGACAGACUAGGGUGCUGAUCCCAUAGGUUUCACAUUUAAGUGACUAAACAAUAUUAAUGGAGCUUUAUGGGUAUUAGACUAUUUAAUUAAUAAUAUAAUUUCAGGUGUAAUAAGUGUCAAAGAGAGGUCAAGGCAGGUAAUUGGUUCACAAUGGAUGGGGCAAGGUUGGAGCUUGGGGGGUUGUGGAAGGGCUUAUGUUUGAGAGAAACCUAAGUCACAGGAGGGGCUGGAAUGACUUCCAGGAAGAGGAACAGCAAAGGCAAAGGCCUUUAGAGCAGCCAACCUAGGCUCCUAGCAUGGGACUGUAUGUAUCAGACAUUCAGGAAAUAUUUGCUAGAUGGAUGAAUAGAAGAAAGGAAAGACAGAUUAAUUAAAUCACAAACAAAUGAAUGAACUACUCAGCCAGAUUUUCAAGUGUCUCCACCAUCUGGGCUCACUCCAUCUCUUAGCUCUUCAUUUCUCUGCUUUCCAACCUCUCAAAAAUUCCACUCUGGUUAGGUUGGUCUGUUUACACAUUUAUGAAUAUACUAAACUUUUUCUUCCUUCUCCUCCCCAUCAGUCUCCCAGCCCCUUCCCUAUUUCUGUUGUUCUCCAGGAUCCAAAUGAAGACUCACCACCUCCUGUAGCUUUUAUGAAGACUGCUCUCAGAAAACCACAUCAACUUGUUUAUUUUAAAUAUGUGUCUAUUAAAUUUUAUGGCAGAGAA